This 1470-nucleotide ribosomal RNA is filed under the name metagenome. RNAcentral's name for it is "bacterial SSU rRNA". It matches the Rfam family "Bacterial small subunit ribosomal RNA". The record is from RNAcentral.
AGAGUUUGAUCCUGGCUCAGGACGAACGCUGGCGGCACGCUUAACACAUGCAAGUCGAACGAGAGAAGAGGAGCUUGCUUUUCUGAUCUAGUGGCGGACGGGUGAGUAACACGUGAGCAAUCUGCCUUUCAGAGGGGGAUACCGAUUGGAAACGAUCGUUAAUACCGCAUAACAUAAUUGAACCGCAUGAUUUGAUUAUCAAAGAUUUAUCGCUGAAAGAUGAGCUCGCGUCUGAUUAGCUAGUUGGUAAGGUAACGGCUUACCAAGGCGACGAUCAGUAGCCGGACUGAGAGGUUGAUCGGCCACAUUGGGACUGAGACACGGCCCAGACUCCUACGGGAGGCAGCAGUGGGGAAUAUUGCACAAUGGAGGAAACUCUGAUGCAGCGAUGCCGCGUGAGGGAAGAAGGUUUUAGGAUUGUAAACCUCUGUCUUCAGGGACGAAAAAAGACGGUACCUGAGGAGGAAGCUCCGGCUAACUACGUGCCAGCAGCCGCGGCAAUACGUAGGGAGCGAGCGUUGUCCGGAAUUACUGGGUGUAAAGGGAGCGUAGGCGGGAUCGCAAGUCAGAUGUGAAAACUAUGGGCUUAACCCAUAAACUGCAUUUGAAACUGUGGUUCUUGAGUGAAGUAGAGGUAAGCGGAAUUCCUAGUGUAGCGGUGAAAUGCGUAGAUAUUAGGAGGAACAUCAGUGGCGAAGGCGGCUUACUGGGCUUUAACUGACGCUGAGGCUCGAAAGCGUGGGGAGCAAACAGGAUUAGAUACCCUGGUAGUCCACGCCGUAAACGAUGAUUACUAGGUGUGGGGGGACUGACCCCUUCCGUGCCGCAGCAAACGCAGUAAGUAAUCCACCUGGGGAGUACGACCGCAAGGUUGAAACUCAAAGGAAUUGACGGGGGCCCGCACAAGCAGUGGAGUAUGUGGAUUAAUUCGAAGCAACGCGAAGAACCUUACCAGGUCUUGACAUCGUAUGCAUAGCUCAGAGAUGAGUGAAAUCUCUUCGGAGACAUAUAGACAGGUGGUGCAUGGUUGUCGUCAGCUCGUGUCGUGAGAUGUUGGGUUAAGUCCCGCAACGAGCGCAACCCUUACUGUUAGUUGCUACGCAAGAGCACUCUAGCAGGACUGCCGUUGACAAAACGGAGGAAGGUGGGGAUGACGUCAAAUCAUCAUGCCCCUUAUGACCUGGGCCUCACACGUACUACAAUGGCUGUCAACAGAGGGAAGCAAAGCCGCGAGGUGGAGCGAACCCCUAAAAGCAGUCUUAGUUCGGAUUGUAGGCUGCAACCCGCCUACAUGAAGUCGGAAUUGCUAGUAAUCGCAGAUCAGCAUGCUGCGGUGAAUACGUUCCCGGGCCUUGCACACACCGCCCGUCACGCCAUGGGAGUCGGUAACACCCGAAGCCUGUAGUCUAACCGCAAGGAGGACGCAGUCGAAGGUGGGAUUGAUGACUGGGGUGAAGUCGUAACAAGGUA